Molecule: non-coding RNA, 82 nt
Filed under: Pseudomonas citronellolis
Lineage: Bacteria; Pseudomonadati; Pseudomonadota; Gammaproteobacteria; Pseudomonadales; Pseudomonadaceae
Source: RNAcentral
UUCAUGGCGGAUCGCGCGGGGAGGCCUUCGGGCCUGCCGGUACCUGUUCCCGGUUCGUCAACCCCGCGCGGUCCGCCUCCCU